CCCUACGGGGCGCACCAGCACGCGAAAUCAUCUGCACUAGACGAAAGCGCGACACAGUGACUCUGAGAGUGAUUCCCGCUAAGAGAGUAUCUUUUGGCACAUCUCUAAAAUGUGUCGGUAAAAUAAGGGGUGGCCAAGUCUGGUGUCAGCCGCCGCGGUAA
RNAcentral lists this ribosomal RNA (161 nucleotides) under uncultured archaeon. Its description in RNAcentral is "partial 16S ribosomal RNA". It matches the Rfam family "Archaeal small subunit ribosomal RNA", at positions 321 to 473 of the family's 1478-position model. The record is from RNAcentral.